RNAcentral lists this long non-coding RNA (226 nucleotides) under Gallus gallus (chicken). The record is from RNAcentral. Lineage: Eukaryota; Metazoa; Chordata; Aves; Galliformes; Phasianidae.
CAAAACACACAUACAAAAAAAAAAAACACAAAAAUAAAAAAAAAAAAAAAAAAAAAAAAAAAAAAAAAAAAAAAAAAAAAAAAAAAAAAAAAAAAAAAAAAAAAAAAAAAAAAAAAAAAAAAAAAAAAAAAAAAAAAAAAAAAAAAAAACAAAAAAAAAAAACAACAAAAAAAAAAAAAAAAAAAAAAAAAAAAAAAAAAAAAAAAAAAAAAAAAAAAAAACACAC